Long non-coding RNA from Carassius auratus (goldfish), 604 nucleotides. RefSeq lists it as uncharacterized. The record is from RefSeq and is a predicted model, not a curated record. The transcript is spliced from 2 exons. NCBI's taxonomy places the organism in Eukaryota, Metazoa, Chordata, Actinopteri, Cypriniformes, Cyprinidae.
AUUAGAAAACGAACAUUGCCAGGGGGUUACAAACAAUUUAAACAAAUAUAUAAAAUAAUUACCAACAAUCGAUAAAUUCUACAUAAUUAAUUAAAACAAACUGAGAACAGCUACGAAUAAACACCAACGAACAAACAAACAAAAAAGAUCUCCCAAACUCCGCUAAAGCCAAAACAAACCGUCGUCGCGUGACGCGCUCGUGCGUGCUUACGUCAUGACAGCAGCGCAGCUGAGAGGGAGCGUCACGGCGGCGUAGACGGGUUACUGUAUGGUUACUGUUUACAUUCCCUUCACCGUCUCUUUUCUGCUUUUACCCCGAUUUUACCACAACAGCGCGCGUCUCCUGCAUCUAACCGCCUGAAGCAGACUCUUUCUUUCUUUGAGCAUCUUCUGGACACACAGAGACCGAUACAGAUCCAGAUUCAGAUCCUGCUGUAGACCUUCACUAUAACAUAUUGGAAUGUGUGCAUGUUAGUGCAUGUGUGUUACAGACGAAGACUUGCGGUUUCUUGAGUUAACAUGCUCUUUCUGCGUAGCUGAGGAUUCAUAUGUAUUGUUUUCUGAUGCAUUAACACACAAUGAAAUUAAAAUGACAUUGAUGAGA